UGCAACUUUGAGGUGAAGUGCAAGGUCCACACAUGAGAUAAAUGACAUUGCCAAGAGGCCUCAUAUAGAUACCAUCUUCGCGGAGCUUCUGAAGGAGAGAUCUAGCAUAUAGAGAAGCAUACCCAGCAUUAGAGCCUUCUGCUCGAAGUUCCAAUGCACAUAGAGUCCCCAACACAACCACUCUAUGCACUGCUGGAAGUAAAGAAAUUUGUCUCACCAUGUCUGAAUCCCACAGCUCCCUGAGCAGCAUGGCUUCAGAUAUCAG
Molecule: unclassified non-coding RNA, 265 nt
Filed under: Hevea brasiliensis (rubber tree)
Lineage: Eukaryota; Viridiplantae; Streptophyta; Magnoliopsida; Malpighiales; Euphorbiaceae
Source: RNAcentral